Molecule: ribosomal RNA, 479 nt
Filed under: uncultured bacterium
Lineage: Bacteria
Description: partial 16S ribosomal RNA
Rfam family: Bacterial small subunit ribosomal RNA
Source: RNAcentral
GAUGAACGCUGGCGGCGUGCUUAACACAUGCAAGUCGAGCGAGAAGUUUUGAAAAGAUUCUUCGGAUGAAAUUUAAAAUGGGAGGGGGCGACGGGGGGAGCAACGCCUAGGCAACCUGCCCAAUACAAAGGACUAGCAUUAGGAACCGAUAAUUAAUACUUUUUGAAACUUAACUAGGGCAAGCUAGGUAGGUUAAGGAUUUAUCGGGAGGGGAUGGGCUUGCUUCUGAUUUGCUGGUUGGGGAGGGAAUGGCCAACCAAGGCGACGGUCAGUGGCCGGCCUGGGAGGGCGGCCAGCCACAUAGUAACUGAGGCACGGGCCAAACUCCUACGGGAGGAGGCAGUAGGGAAUAUUGCACAAUGGGGGAAAGACUGAUGCAGCAACGCCGCGUGAACGAGGAAGGCCGUUGGGUCGCAGAGUUCUGUUCUAGGGGAUGAAAACUGACAGUAACCUAUAAGAAAGCCCCGGCUAACUCCGUG